UCCACCUAUGACUCCAGCUUCAUGUCUCAUUCUCAUAAACUGACUUCAUUUUUCAGUCAUUUUGUAAAUACCGAAACGUAUUUUCGGGAUUGACGCAUCCAGCAGCCACUUCUCUGCUUGUAAACAGUUUAAGGCUUAUUGAACCAUCUUUCAACUCUGAUGUGAGAUAUUGUCAGCCCAUCACACGUGAACGGAGAGUGUGUAAAAGAGCCACAUUAUCUUCUGAUUAUGCUCAUAAGGUGUUGCUGAUGGGUGACAGCCUACUUGAAGUUUUCCCCCCGCGCAGCGCGUCCAGUCAUCGAUCAUCUGCCCCCGGUGCCAGAAACGGUGUCAUAACAUGAUAAUGCGGCUUCACACAUUCGGCGGUGAUUCCUGUGGUAAAACCCGAGCGGUUGGAUCCGAUGGGACACAUUUCCAGGCAUGAAAUGAUUAUCAAACCCUCCUGCACUCCGUCCGGCGAGGCUCCGGGGCGCGGACAGCAGAGAAGCCACGAAGCCGCGCAGGACGCACGGACUUUUACGCAUAGAGAUACCGGAUCAAAUAAUAAACUGGGUUGCCUUGUGGUCAUCAAGUUUGUUAAUUCAGUUAUUUAUUGGUGAGUAGAAGCUCUCCUUCUCUCAUUCCUUUUUUAUUUUUACGGCACAUUAAAUAAUUAAAAACAUUAUUGUCACAGUGAUAUUUUCUUGAAGGAAAGUUAUUUUUAAUUAAAGGAGAAGCUGUUGUUUAAAUCCACUUUCAGCUAAAUUUGUGGGUUUAGUGAAACGCAAACAGGAUUAUAUAGCUCACUACACCACAAGGCACAAUACAUUUUAGAGGGUCAUUGAGAGAAAGUGAAGCUAAAUUAACACGAAAGGAGACCACAUCAUCGCCUGACCACUGUAAAAUAACCACAAUGCAUUAUAAAGCAAUUAAGCUACUUCAAUUAGCGUCUAUAAAAGCAAACUGGAGCUCCACUUUCUCUCUUGAAGUUGCUCUUCCGCGAGGGUCAGCGCAUUUUGGCAUCCUCAAAGAGAGCAGGGGGGCAAAUACUGUCAUUUCUGUUUAAUCCGCUUUGCGAUGACGGUAAUGCUGUGAGUCGUUUCAAUAAAAUCAGGAAGUAUUUCUUUCAAACUGCUGAAUGUAAAUUGACAGCAUGUUUGACCGCCGAAACUAAUGGAAGUGUUAUGAGACGGCCUGUGCGCCGGGAGUUGUGCUGUUUGAAGACAAAGAUAAGUUGCAGCCUUUAUAUUAGUUUAUAAAACACACGCAUCAUGCAGAAAUACAAUGUCCAAGAUGUGUAUCCCUCACUGUGUAACAUAUUACUAUUUUAAGUCACAAGGCCUACUAGUUAUUUUUAGCUCAGAGAAUGUUGCAAUAAAUAAUGCACAUUUGAAUAUUAAUUUUAAUACGUGCAGUUUUGAGUAAAAAAAUGAAUAAAAACUAGAACUCCAGGUCAGAGAAUCGCUGUCAGAGCCGUCUGUAUCUCUGUUUGUCUUCUUGGCUGUUUGAAGAAAGAAGGAGCAACUGGCAGCCUGAGGAGUCAAACUGAGGUCAAACUUUUUGCAGCCCCGCAGCUCUGCGCCCAAACGUGUUGGGAUCUGCAAAGGCCACUGAGUCUCUCUGCUCUGUGUCACUGCUGCAGCACACAGGCACACAGAUAGACCUGCUGCAAAGUUUUCACAGCUCAUCUAAUUAUAUGAAACUACUAGUAUAUUAUCGCCUGUCAGAAUACCCAGCCGGAUUCAUUAGGGUGCAUGUAGGCGCUGUGAGCUCCGGUCUGAAAUUAUUCAGUCAGAAAAAAAGGCGCUCGGCUUUGUACAAGUAAAUGAUUUCUCUUGCCUCGGAGAUUUAUUUUUAAAGUUAGUGUAAUGAGCUAUAACGCGAGGGAGCAUCCAGUGUCAUAUGAGAAAGCCAUGUGUUAUACCCUGAAUCUCCAUCAUCGUUCACAAAUUGUUACUAAUUCAUGAAAGUGGAGUAAAGGUUGAAAUUAUUACAGUUUGCCUCAAAUUAUUGUAACAGGAUGACGGGGUGUGAUUUUUACGAAUGGUUCUUUAAAAUAAUGCAACUAAUAUCUCGGGAGUAUAAUUAAAUGGCACCGAAAACAUGGUAAAUACUAUGGCGUGUGGUUAAAUGUGUAAAAUCACAGCUUUGGUAUAAUGGCAAUAAUAUAAUGCAUCGCAAUAUUAAUUUGAAACCAUGAAAUCAGUUACAGUUUGUUUUUUAUCAACUCUUUCCUCUGGGAGUUUUCACUUCUGCUGGAUCCUGCAGUUUGGCCCAAAUGAUAAUCUGAGCUGCUCUCGCCUCUCACACACAUUAAUGCUUAAUCAUUUGCGCCUUCUACCGGAGGUGUUGGAAAUUACAUGAAAGGCAGAGGAAGAGUCUUGCUCAAGACAAAUUAAGAUAAAAAGCAAGUAAAACCCCUGCAAAAUAAAUCCACUUUUUUUUGUGUGUAAUUCUGUUGCAUCGUGAGCAUUUUAUAUCUUCUUCAGCAUGCUGCACUAAAUGCAGAAUAUACUGUUCGAAUCUGUAAAGACAUUUAUUGAUAUAUUUCUCAUGAUCUUUGUUCAUGUAAAUAAUUUAACAUGCUAAUAAAAUAUAUAAUAGUG
Molecule: long non-coding RNA, 2585 nt
Organism: Siniperca chuatsi (mandarin fish)
Lineage: Eukaryota; Metazoa; Chordata; Actinopteri; Centrarchiformes; Sinipercidae
Exons: 2
Source: RefSeq, a predicted model, not a curated record